CGGACGGGUGAGUAACACGUGGAUAACCUACCUAUAAGACUGGGAUAACUUCGGGAAACCGGAGCUAAUACCGGAUAAUAUAUUGAACCGCAUGGUUCAAUAGUGAAAGACGGUUUUGCUGUCACUUAUAGAUGGAUCCGCGCUGCAUUAGCUAGUUGGUAAGGUAACGGCUUACCAAGGCAACGAUGCGUAGCCGACCUGAGAGGGUGAUCGGCCACACUGGAACUGAGACACGGUCCAGACUCCUACGGGAGGCAGCAGUU
This 263-nucleotide ribosomal RNA is filed under the name uncultured Staphylococcus sp. RNAcentral's name for it is "partial 16S ribosomal RNA". It matches the Rfam family "Bacterial small subunit ribosomal RNA", at positions 99 to 355 of the family's 1533-position model. The record is from RNAcentral. Lineage: Bacteria; Bacillati; Bacillota; Bacilli; Caryophanales; Staphylococcaceae.